RNAcentral lists this ribosomal RNA (558 nucleotides) under uncultured bacterium. Its description in RNAcentral is "bacterial SSU rRNA". It matches the Rfam family "Bacterial small subunit ribosomal RNA", at positions 777 to 1319 of the family's 1533-position model. The record is from RNAcentral.
AAUAGAUACCCAGGUAGUCCACACCGUAAACGUUGGGCGCUAGGUGUGGGAUCUGUUUCCACGGGUUCCGUGCCGUAGCUAACGCAUUAAGCGCCCCGCCUGGGGAGUACGGGCCGCAAGGCUAAAACUCAAAGGAAUUGACGGGGGGCCCGCACGAAGCGGCGGAGCAUGCGGAUUAAUUCGAUGCAACGCGAAGAACCUUACCUGGGUUUGACAUAGGAAGUUAACCAUCAGAGAUGGUGGGUCCGUGAGGGUUUCCUACAGGUGGUGCAUGGCUGUCGUCAGCUCGUGUCGUGAGAUGUUGGGUUAAGUCCCGCAACGAGCGCAACCCUUGUCUUAUGUUGCCAGCACGCUCCUUUGGGGGUGGUGGGGACUCAUAAGAGACUGCCGGGGUCAACUCGGAGGAAGGUGGGGAUGACGUCAAGUCAUCAUGCCCCUUAUGUCCAGGGCUUCACGCAUGCUACAAUGGCCGGUACAGACCGCUGCGAUCCCGUGAGGGGGUANCGAAUCGGAAAAACGCCGGUCUCGAGUUCGGAUUGGGGUCUGCAACUCGACCCC